GCCGCCGUGGCUCAGUCGGUAGAGCGUCGCAUUGGUAAUGCGGAGGUCGUGGGUUCGAUUCCCAUCGGUGGCU
RNAcentral lists this transfer RNA (73 nucleotides) under Nanobdellota archaeon. RNAcentral's name for it is "tRNA-Thr". It matches the Rfam family "tRNA". Rfam says of the family: Transfer RNA (tRNA) molecules are approximately 80 nucleotides in length. Their secondary structure includes four short double-helical elements and three loops (D, anti-codon, and T loops). The record is from RNAcentral. Lineage: Archaea; Nanobdellati; Nanobdellota.